ACACCCCUAGGCAGUAUGUGUUAAUAUUGUUUUUGGAAUUGUUUUGGGCCCAGGCGCAUGGGAUUCCUUUUUGCACUCCAUUGUGCAGUUCUGACCCCCGUUUGUUUGACAUUUUUGAUGAUUUUUUUGCCACGCUUUCUUGAUAUUUUUUGUACUAUUUUUAUCAUAUUUUCUUGACAUAAUGUUCACCAUGAAAAUUUUAUAUAUUUUACAUUUGUUGGUUAAUUUUCAUUAGGAAUUUUGGUAAGUUU
RNAcentral lists this long non-coding RNA (251 nucleotides) under Lathyrus oleraceus (garden pea). RNAcentral's name for it is "Pisum sativum (pea) long non-coding RNA (PSAT_LNC022919)". The record is from RNAcentral. Lineage: Eukaryota; Viridiplantae; Streptophyta; Magnoliopsida; Fabales; Fabaceae.